CACAGAAGCAGCCGAGUUCUGAUGUCAUAAGCAGGAGACCUCGCUUCAGUGCUCAGAGGGUGAAGCUACCCACCGUGAUGCACAGCUGCAGCAACAGAAGAUGAAAAUGCCCGAGGUCCAAGAAGCAGAGGUGCAAUUGCCUAGCAUGGCACCACUGCCACAAGCAGCCUGGAACAUAGGAUGGGGAGUAACACCACCAGCAACACCCAGUGUGCACAUCUUGUAUGUCCUGUUAUCUUAUCCAGCAGGCUGGCCUCUGUCCCAGGGCAAGGAUCCACCCCUCUAGAUCCAGCUUUAGCAUCACAGAUGUAUGGAAUACACUCCUGAAUAAUCCUGACACACAAACAUAUGGGCUAAAUCCAGUAAGCAACUUCAGUCCUCACGUGAAUACACUUACAUAAUAAAACCUAAAAUCUGAAAGGUAUUUCAGUCGUGCUG
This is a long non-coding RNA of Phasianus colchicus (ring-necked pheasant), 438 nucleotides long. RefSeq lists it as uncharacterized. NCBI's taxonomy places the organism in Eukaryota, Metazoa, Chordata, Aves, Galliformes, Phasianidae. The record is from RefSeq and is a predicted model, not a curated record.